GUUUUGUGAUAAAGAAGUACCUAUAUAUUCAAGAGAAAAGAAAGUGGAGGCAUGAAUUCAGAGAAUUAUUUAAGCCCAAUCCUCCAUGUGCUGAAUGAAAAUCGCAGGCCCAAACAAAAUUACAGGGAAAACGGUACUAGAAGAUAGCUACUGGAUUGCUUUAUUAUUACACAGUCUCCCAAACAACUUCUAUUUAAAGAAAAGGGAAGUGUUGAUUAUUCCUGGGCAAGAUGGCUGAAUAGGAGCAGCUCCAGUCUGCAGCUUCCAACGAGACCAACGCAAAAGGUCAGUGAUUUGUGCAUUUCCAACUAAGGUACCCGGUUCAUCUCACUGAGACUGGUUAGAUAGUGGGUGCAGCCCCCAGAGGGUGAGCAGAAGCAGGGUGGAGUGUCGCCUCACCUGGGAAGCGCAAGGGGUCGGGGAACUUCCUUUCCUAGCCAAGGGAAGCCAUGAGGGACCAUGCUGUGAGGGAUGGUGCUAUCCAGCUCAGACACUGUGCUUUUCCCAUGGUCUUCGCAAUCCGCAGACCAGGAGAUUCCCUCA
RNAcentral lists this long non-coding RNA (543 nucleotides) under Homo sapiens (human). Its description in RNAcentral is "HSALNT0284571". The record is from RNAcentral. Lineage: Eukaryota; Metazoa; Chordata; Mammalia; Primates; Hominidae.